UUUCACGACCAAAGAUUCUGAAAAUAGAGAGAAAAUAAAACCAAAAACAUUUCUUGGCUAGCUUGAAGAGAUUCUAAGGAGAUCCAAGUUAAAUCAAAGCCAAAGAAGUGGAUUAAGCUUAGUUUUGGGCUUUUUAUGUGGUUUUAGGUUUAAAAAAGCUAGAAGAGAUUGUUUUCGCUGAAAAGUUGCUCGGAUAAGCACAUCAACACCUAAGACACCACUUGUUACACGGUGAAAUAUAUUUUGGACAGAAGGUAGAGACAGAAAUGAGUGAGUGACAAAGGAGAACUGAAGCAUGGUCCUGACCCUGAUUUGUACAUAUGAAGAUAUCGACCUUUUGUGGGUUAUUUCAGUUUAUCAGUGUGUAUGUUUGUAAUAAAGUGUGGAAUUAUGUUAUGAAAAUAAAUGGAGUUAUUUAAUACUUAUGUAUAAUAUGUUUGAGACACACUUUAUGUUUAAUGUAAAUAAUGUGA
Molecule: long non-coding RNA, 473 nt
Organism: Humulus lupulus (European hop)
Lineage: Eukaryota; Viridiplantae; Streptophyta; Magnoliopsida; Rosales; Cannabaceae
Exons: 4
Source: RefSeq, a predicted model, not a curated record